Molecule: ribosomal RNA, 253 nt
Filed under: uncultured bacterium
Lineage: Bacteria
Description: partial 16S ribosomal RNA
Rfam family: Bacterial small subunit ribosomal RNA
Source: RNAcentral
UACGUAGGGGGCAAGCGUUGUCCGGAAUUAUUGGGCGUAAAGGGCUCGUAGGCGGUUCGUCACGUCGGGAGUGAAAACUCGGAGCUUAACUCCGAGCCUGCUUCCGAUACGGGCAGACUAGAGGUAGGCAGGGGAGAGCGGAACUCCUGGUGUAGCGGUGGAAUGCGCAGAUAUCAGGAGGAACACCUAUUGCGAAGGCAGCUCGCUGGGACGUAACUGACGCUGAGACGCGAAAGCGUGGGGAGCAAACAGG